RNAcentral lists this ribosomal RNA (422 nucleotides) under uncultured bacterium. Its description in RNAcentral is "partial 16S ribosomal RNA". It matches the Rfam family "Bacterial small subunit ribosomal RNA", at positions 360 to 774 of the family's 1533-position model. The record is from RNAcentral.
AAUCUUCCACAAUUGACGAAAGUCUGAUGGAGCAUCGCCGCGUGAGUGAAGAAGGUUUCCGGCUCGUAAAGCUCUGUUGUAAGGGAAGAACAGGUACAGUAUUAACUGCCUGUACCUUGACGGUACCUUACCAGACAGCCACGUCUAACUACGUGCCAGCAGCCGCGGUAAUACGUAGGUGGCAAGCGUUGUCCGGAAUUAUUGGGCGUAAAGCGCGCGCAGGCGGUCCUUUAAGACUGAAGUGAAAGCCCACGGCUCAACCGUGGAGGGUCAUUGGAAACUGGAGGACUUGAGUACAGAAGAGGAAAGCGGAAUUCCACGUGUAGCGGUGAAAUGCGUAGAGAUGUGGAGGAACACCAGUGGCGAAGGCGGCUUUCUGGUCGGUAACUGACGCUGAGGCGCGAAAGCGUGGGGAGCAAACA